CCUACGGGUGGCAGCAGUGAGGAAUAUUGGUCAAUGGCCGGAAGGCUGAACCAGCCAUGCCGCGUGAAGGUCAGUGCCCUAUGGGCGUUAAACUUCUUUUGUGCGGGAGCAAUAAUGGUCACGUGUGGCCAGACGAGAGUACCGUACGAAUAAGCAUCGGCUAACUCCGUGCCAGCAGCCGCGGUAAUACGGGGGAUGCAAGCGUUAUCCGGAUUUAUUGGGUUUAAAGGGAGCGUAGAUGGGUUGUUAAGGCAGUUGUGAAAGUUUGCGGCUCAACCGUAAAAUUGCAAUUGAUACUGCCUUGCUGGAAUGCGGAUGCCGUGGGAGGAAUGUGUGGUGUAGCGGUGAAAUGCAUAGAUAUCACACAGAACACCGAUUGCGAAGGCAUCUCACGAAUCCGCGAUUGACGCUGAUGCACGAAAGCGUGGGUAUCAAACAGGAUUAGAUACCCGAGUAGUC
This 459-nucleotide ribosomal RNA is filed under the name uncultured bacterium. Its description in RNAcentral is "partial 16S ribosomal RNA". It matches the Rfam family "Bacterial small subunit ribosomal RNA", at positions 338 to 795 of the family's 1533-position model. The record is from RNAcentral.